RNAcentral lists this long non-coding RNA (276 nucleotides) under Homo sapiens (human). RNAcentral describes it as "long non-coding RNA NONHSAT060292.2". The stretch from base 37 to 105 matches the Rfam family "tRNA". Lineage: Eukaryota; Metazoa; Chordata; Mammalia; Primates; Hominidae. The record is from RNAcentral.
UUUGUAAGGUCUCCCAGGGCGCCGGAGCGCAGUGUCGUCUCUGUGGCGCAAUCGGUUAGCGCGUUCGGCUGUUAACCGAAAGGCUGCCCACCUACGGCCGAGGCCCUGCUCUACGGCAUCCUGCAGCUGCAGAGGAAGAUCAAGCGGGAGCGGAGGCUGCAGAUCUGGUACCGCAGGUAGCGCCGCCGCCGCCGCCGCCGGAGCCUGUCGCCGUCCUGUCCCCAGCCUGCUUGUGUCCCGUGAGGUUGUCAAUAAACCUGCCCUCGGGCUGCCGCC